AGCAGUCGCCGCGGGAAUACGUAGGUGGCGAGCGUUGCCCGGAAUCAUUGGGCGUAAAGGGAGCGCAGGCGGGCAUGUAAGUCUUUCUUAAAAGUUCGGGGCUCAACCCCGUGAUGGGAAAGAAACUACAUGUCUUGAGUACAGGAGAGGAAAGCGGAAUUCCCAGUGUAGCGGUGAAAUGUGUAGAUAUAUGGAGGAACACCGGUGGCGAAAGCGGCUCUCUGGCUUGUAACUGACGCUGAGGCUCGGAAGCGUGGGGAGCAAACAGGAUUAGAUACCCCAGUAGUCCCUGUCUCUUAUACA
Molecule: ribosomal RNA, 303 nt
Filed under: uncultured bacterium
Lineage: Bacteria
Description: partial 16S ribosomal RNA
Rfam family: Bacterial small subunit ribosomal RNA
Source: RNAcentral